UGAAGAAUCUUUAUUCCAGCCAGUGAUUUAAAAUACAUUCAACAACAUCAACAGAUGCCUAUCAGGAACCAGAGUAACAGGAACAUUCUGAGAAUAACCUCCACUCAGCAUGAGAAGGAAGCAGUCCCUGUACACCUUGACAAGAUGCCCACUCAACACCAGAAAUAACUGAGAGAUGGAAACAACUACUCACCUUACUCAAGGAUAUGUGAGCAUGGAAUAAAAUAAAUAUGGCCA
This 237-nucleotide long non-coding RNA is filed under the name Fukomys damarensis (Damara mole-rat). RNAcentral describes it as "lncRNA (ENSFDAG00000026944.1)". The record is from RNAcentral. Lineage: Eukaryota; Metazoa; Chordata; Mammalia; Rodentia; Bathyergidae.